AUUGCCCUGACCUCUGGGAUCUCUGACAUGCACCCAUGAGCUCUCUUUAAGCCCAGACUUGGGUGCUAUAAGUCUGAGUCUCUUGUUGCUGAAGGCCUAUAAUUGCUGGUUGUUAUUAAGAAGUCAUGACUUGCUCUUUCUGGAAUAACCUGCUCUUCCUGUAUUUUAAGAUCAACUUGCACAAAUGCAGUCAACAAACAUCAUGAAGUACCUCAGAGCCUAAUAACCCUAGUCUGGACAACCUGUGAAGCUACCUUGCUGAGGUGGUAAG
This is a long non-coding RNA of Nothoprocta perdicaria, 271 nucleotides long. RefSeq lists it as uncharacterized. NCBI's taxonomy places the organism in Eukaryota, Metazoa, Chordata, Aves, Tinamiformes, Tinamidae. The record is from RefSeq and is a predicted model, not a curated record. The transcript is spliced from 3 exons.